Molecule: RNA transcript, 2867 nt
Organism: Uranotaenia lowii
Lineage: Eukaryota; Metazoa; Arthropoda; Insecta; Diptera; Culicidae
Gene name: sperm-associated antigen 7 homolog
Exons: 4
Source: RefSeq, a predicted model, not a curated record
AUUCCGCAAAAUCUACUUGACUCAUGGAAAAGGUGGAUAGGGCUUCUAGGUCACCUUCACAAAGUCCGAGUCCCACGAUGCAUCUUCUACAAUACCGACUCUCGAAUAAAUUACAAACUUCAGCUACACACUUUUGUGGACGCGAGCGAAGCCGCCUACUCUUGUGUGGUCUACAUUCGACUUGAAAACAAAAAUGACUGUAAAUGCAGACUUAUCUCAGCGAAAACAAAGGUGGCGCCGCUCAAACCGCUUUCCAUCCCGAGAUUAGAACUUCAGGCUGCCGCCCUCGGCGCAAGACAUCUCCAAACAGUCGCUACUUCGAUGACUCUUCCGAUAGAGAAAAGGGUGUUUUGGUCGGACUCAGCAACGGUGUUAGCCUGGAUACGGUCAGACAGCAGGCGAUUUCAUCAGUUCGUGACCUUCAGAGUCGGGGAAAUAUUGUCGAGCACAAAUGUAGAAGAAUGGAGACAUGUUCCAUCGGCGCUAAACGUUGCUGAUGAGGCCACCAAAUGGAAUAACGAGCCUUCCUUUGAUCCCGAUAGUCGAUGGUACCGAGGACCAACAUUCUUACUAGAAUUGGAAGAGCAGUGGCCAAGGGCAUCAGGUAAAUCUUUCACAACCGAGGAUGAGCUCAGAGCAGUUCACGUCCACGUUCACAACACAGACCCGCUUAUAGAUACUACUCGCUUUUCAACAUUCAAUCGUAUGCUGCGAACAACUUCCUACAUUGUUCGUGGUGCCGAUUCUUUCCGACAUCGGUUACCGCCCGGGACGGUAGAGAAAAUACUUCAACGCGAUGAGAUCCAGAAGGCUGAACGCGUUUUAUGGAAACAAGCACAGGCAGACGUCUUUUUCGCUGAGAUAGAUCUAUUGAACAGAGGAAAACCCAUUCCAGCUUCUAGCCAUAUUUACAAGUUAAAUCCCUUCACGGAUGAACAUUCGAUCAUACGGGUUGGGUCUCGAUUAAAUCUAGCCCCGAUCAGCUAUGAUGCUAAGUUCCCGGUACUGCUGCCUAAAGAGAAUCGGAUUACACAUCUGUUGAUUCUUCAUUUUCAUGUUAAAUUCCUGCAUGCAAAUAGAGAGACCGUCCUUAACGAAAUGAGACAACAAUACUAUAUUCCUAACAUGCGCUCGAUCAUACGUAGAAUAGCAAACGCAUGUUUAUAUUGUAAAGUGAAACGAGCUAACCCAAAACCUCCUAUUAUGGCACCUUUACCCCGUGUCAGGCUUACCCCACACAUUCGUCCUUUCUCAUAUAUAGGUGUGGACUACUUUGGCCCCAUUCAGGUGAAAGUAGGCAGAAGUCUAGCCAAGCGUUGGGUAUGCCUAUUUACCUGCCUUACAAUUCGUGCUAUUCACCUUGAAGUGGUUUAUACGUUGAGCACGCAAUCCUGCAUUAUGGCUUUCAGAAGGUUCAUUGCUAGAAGGGGAGCACCACAAGAGGUUUACUCUGAUAACGGCACCUGUUUUAAAGGGGCAAGCCGAGAGCUGGCAGAAGAAAGAAAACAAAGAACACUUAUUGAUGAAGCGUGCGCCUCUACGUUCACCAACGCUUCUACGGCCUGGUAUUUUAACCCCCCAGCCACACCCCACAUGGGUGGGGCCUGGGAACGUAUGGUGAAAUCAGUUAAAUUGGCACUCCAAGUACUAUCUGAACACGUGAGACACCCGAAUGAUGAGGCAUUCGAAACCAUAUUAUUGGAAGCGGAAAGUAUUGUCAAUUCUCGGCCGUUGACGUACGUACCCCUCGAAUGUGACGAGCAAGAGGCAUUGACUCCCAACCACUUUUUGUUGUGCUGGUCCAAGGAAGUCCAACAACCACCUUCGGAGUUAAACAACUAUCGCAACUCCUUAAGAGAUAGUUGGAGCCUAACUAGGCACUUAGUCGAUGGAUUUUGGAGAAGGUGGAUAGUCGAAUAUUUACCAAUGCUCACGAGAAGAACAAAAUGGUUCGAACCCGUGAAACCCCUUGGAAGAGGCGACCUGGUGCUUGUCAUAAACGAGAAUGUCAGAAACGGCUAUGAACGUGGACGGAUCGAAAAGGUUGUAUUAGGUGCCGAUGGGCAAGUACGCAGAGCAUGGGUGAAGACAAGCAGCGGAACAUCACUGAAAGCAGCUACCAGACUAGCGGUCCUUGACGUCCUGGGAGUGCCCUCGGGAAAAGGGGUACUUCACGGGCAGGGGGAUGUUGCGGUAACCCGUGACGAACGAGUGAGAGUACCGUCCAUUCCCUCGGUCGGAAAUACGUCAUACGAAGUAAACAGGAUAGUGUCAUCUAGGUAGUACUCUUGAAGGUAGAUAGCGUGUUCUCGGAUAGAGUUGCGAAUCAGAUUAUUUCGAAGAUCAUUUAAAUUGUUACCCACAGUAUAUCAUAUCUUAGUUUGUACACGAAAAGUGGAUAAGGAAAGAGUUUGAGGUUAACUUGUGACAAGCUAGAGAAUUCAUAGAAAAGGAUUAACACUAAAUUUUCUUAAAGCUGUACUGAACUGAACUGCUAAAGAAGAGUGUUAUACGAAUUCUCUACCGCCACAAGAAACACUGGCUUUGUGAAUCAGUCUGAUCCGUGUCAAAAGCGUAAGUUUGAUAAACGAAAAGUACUCAUUUUGUGUUUACAAAUCAUUACCGGUGAUUUCCAACGCUGAGGUGCAGAUAAGGCUGGCGCGAGUAUGGUAUCCCAGGCGUACUGGGUUCGAUUCCCGGUAUUGGCAAGAAAAUUUUUAGGUUCGAAUCCCAUAAGUUGCCGACAGACAUGAUAUAGCAGAAAUAGCUGGCUUGGCAGCGCUGAGCUUUGGAGUAGAAGAUGUGGACCGUUACAUUGUAGUUUACAAGAAGGAAAAUAUGCCCUCCGAAGAUGAAUUGGCCGCUCG